This 155-nucleotide small RNA is filed under the name Pongo abelii (Sumatran orangutan). RNAcentral describes it as "processed transcript". Lineage: Eukaryota; Metazoa; Chordata; Mammalia; Primates; Hominidae. The record is from RNAcentral.
AACUGAUCCUGCUACAGCUCCACCAUGAAGUUCUUCAUGGUCCUGCUGCUGGCCAGCCUAGCCUCCACCUCUCUCGCCAACCUAAUCCCUAGCGCCAAUGAUGUCUUGAGGCCCUAAUGACGAGGGUGCCUGAAUUCCAGGCUGGGCUGUGGGAG